Molecule: long non-coding RNA, 233 nt
Organism: Rosa chinensis
Lineage: Eukaryota; Viridiplantae; Streptophyta; Magnoliopsida; Rosales; Rosaceae
Exons: 3
Source: RefSeq, a predicted model, not a curated record
CAUCGAUCUGAGUAGAGGUUGGUUAGAAAUCAGCAGAUUUCGAGUUUCAGCUUUUCUUUAUCCUCUUUCCUUAUCAGGAUUCCUCAAAUUCCUUUGGAAUUAAUUCCAUUAAGAGUGGCAUUCCUUGAUAUAUGACUGGGCUUGGCCAAAUUCAUCUUGUCUCCAUCUUUUCCUGUCGAAUUUCAUGAGGGAACUCGCCCAUACAUUUGAUUCAGUGGGCCUCCUAUAACUCA